AUGGAUUGAGCCUUAGAAAGCAUUGAGACGGGUGAUGCAUGGCAGUCGUCAGCUCGUGUCGUGAGAUAUUGGGUUAAGUCCCGUAACGAGCGCAACCCUUGUCUUUAGUUACCAGCACGUAAUGGUGGGCACUCUAAGGAGACUGCCGGUGACAAACCGGAGGAAGGUGGGGAUGACGUCAAGUCAUCAUGGCCCUUACGGCCUGGGCUACACACGUGCUACAAUGGUCGGUACAGAGGGUUGCCAAGCCGCGAGGUGGAGCUAAUCCCAGAAAACCGAUCGUAGUCCGGAUCGCAGUCUGCAACUCGACUGCGUGAAGUCGGAAUCGCUAGUAAUCGCGAAUCAGAAUGUCGCGGUGAAUACGUUCCCGGGCCUUGUACACACCGCCCGUCACACCAUGGGAGUGGGUUGCACCAGAAGUAGCUAGUCUAACCUUCGGGGGGACGGUUACCACGGUGUGAUUCAUGACUGGGGUGAAGUCGUAACAAGGUAGCCGUAGGGGAACCUGCGGCUGGAUCACCUCCUU
RNAcentral lists this ribosomal RNA (526 nucleotides) under soil bacterium enrichment culture clone AMBMPRD29. Its description in RNAcentral is "bacterial SSU rRNA". It matches the Rfam family "Bacterial small subunit ribosomal RNA", at positions 1006 to 1532 of the family's 1533-position model. The record is from RNAcentral.